This 253-nucleotide ribosomal RNA is filed under the name uncultured bacterium. Its description in RNAcentral is "partial 16S ribosomal RNA". It matches the Rfam family "Bacterial small subunit ribosomal RNA", at positions 524 to 776 of the family's 1533-position model. The record is from RNAcentral.
UACGGGGGGGGCAAGCGUUGUUCGGAAUUACUGGGCGGAAAGGGCUCGUAGGCGGCCAACUAAGUCCUACGUGAAAUCCCUCGGCUUAACCGGGGAACUGCGUCUGAUACUGGAUGGCUUGAGAUUGGGAGAGGGAUGCGGAAUUCCAGGUGUAGCGGUGAAAUGCGUAGAUAUCUGGAGGAACACCGGUGGCGAAGGCGGCAUCCUGGACCGGCAUUGACGCUGAUGAGCGAAAGCUAGGGGAGCAAACGGG